CCGCGCGGGGCCGGGGGCCGCCCGCUCGCGGGGAAAGCGCAGCGCCCGCAGCGCGGGGGGCGGCGCGGGGCCGCUGCCGGGAGUUCCGCGGGAGCCCUCGGAAGGGCCCUCCCCCGCCGCCCCCCUCCAAAAAAGAAAAAAAAAAAAAAAAAAAAAAAAAAAAAAAGGGGGAAAAAAAAAAAAAAAAAAAAAAAAAAAAAAGCCUCCCAAAGUGCUACUGGCGGUGCGGCGAGUGCCGGCGCGGCCAUGGGGUGGCAGCAGCAGCCCCUCCUUCCCGGCUCGCAGCGGAGCGCAUUCAAUCCAACGCGGCGCUCGUGUAGAAGCACUGGGAUCGUUCGUGCACUGCAGUUUCUCUCGCCUCUCUCCCUCUCUUCCUUCUCCGCUCCUUAGGAUAUUUUGGGUGGAUUGUGGUUACCCAUCGGGAUCUCCUGCUCGCUGCUGAUCACUUGGCAUCUCCACAGGGGAUUGGGAUCGUUCGGGGCAAGCGGACAACCGAUUUUUUUUCCCUUUCUUCUUUUCCCUCUGGAGAUUUUUCUUUUCCCUCCACUCCCCCUCCCCCGUUGGCACGGCGGUAAGGAGCCGGGAAGCACCCUCCCCCGGCGUGCCCCGCAGCAGGAAGCCCCGCCGGGCCGCCGCUCCCGGUGCUCGGUGCGCGUAGCCCGGCCCCGGCCCUCGGACGCGGCGCUGCCCCCAGGCCGGCCGCCCCUCCUCCCCCCGCCGCACCUGGAUGGUACCUCCCGCCGGCGGCGCGGGCACUUUGUGAAGUGGGAAGGAAGGGGCGACUCGGGGGGGCGGGAGGGGGGCGCCGGAGUCUGUAUGGAAUUACCUGCGCCCGCGGCGGAGCUGGCGGCGGCGGAUGGCCGGGCGCCGCGUCCCCGGCACUCGUGGCGAGCGCAGCCCCGGGACUGAACGCGGAGCUUCUCCGGCCGGGAGCGCAGCGUGGUGACCGGAUCGCACCGGAGGGACAGCGCGGAGGACUCCUGCGGGUAGGAUGGUAUAUUGCCCAUAGUUCUUUACUAAACUGGACAGUACAAAGCAGAACUAAAGGAUACUUCUGUCAUGAUUGGGCAAGAAGAUAUUGUUUAAGACACAGUGGCCGCCUUCUGUCUCUAAGAGGUAGGUGUAGCUCAUAGCUGGAACACGUGCUGUUCAAAGAACACGAGUAUCUCAGGACGCAUCACAGUUGUGUAGGCAGAGACAAUUUUGACUGAUAGAGCCAACCUUGAUGAGUUAUGUGGGACUGAAGAGGACGCCCUGCUGACCUGUAUCCCACAAGGCACUGUGAGACCACUGGAAAGCCACUGUAUUGCUCUCCUGAAGUUGUUCUUUCUUUUCUCAACAGUAGUUUCCCAACGUACAUAACAGAUAGCUUUCAGCUGACUGUUUUAAUUUAUGGAAAUCAAAUCAAUUGUUUAUUCAAUAGCGGAUGCUCAAGGAUAUGGUGUAUGACAUUUCAGUUAUCUGUAAUCUGCUACCAUUUGCUUCUUUCUUAAUAGAAAAAGUAAUAUCCAGAAAUCUUGACCACUGCCUACCGCACAGAAAGUCAUUUAAUAAUAUCAUUGGGAACACAUUAAGCAAUGCAAAUGGUGUGCAAUAUUUGUUUGCUAGUCCAUCACCUUAAGUGCAAAUGCUACACUGACGUUGUUUUACUCAAAAAUGGAAAACAAAUACUAGGCCAGACAAUUGUCUAGUUCUGACAGUAGGUUUCUUCCUUAUAGAAUCCUUUUUUAACUACUUUAUAUGUUUAAG
Numida meleagris (helmeted guineafowl) is the source of this 1749-nucleotide long non-coding RNA. The record is from Ensembl. Lineage: Eukaryota; Metazoa; Chordata; Aves; Galliformes; Numididae.